UGUGUAGAAAUAAGCUCUUGUAAUAGUUUCAGAGAAAUUAAUAAUUUUAGUAAAAUGUUAAUGGCAAAUGUGCUAAUGUAAAGAGUUAGAAGAUUAGUGUGAUGCAUUCUUUUGCAUUGAAAUAAGAAUAUAAUAAAUGUCCUGCAGGUGACUGAAGCUACUGCAAUUUUAUUGGAGAUUAAAGUUUGAUUGACCUUUGCUGAGGUGAUUAACCCUUCUGAAAUUAAAAGCCAGUGGUAAAUUAUUCUGUCCAAUUUAAAUGCAAA
Merops nubicus (carmine bee-eater) is the source of this 266-nucleotide long non-coding RNA. It matches the Rfam family "Rhabdomyosarcoma 2 associated transcript conserved region 7". The record is from Rfam. NCBI's taxonomy places the organism in Eukaryota, Metazoa, Chordata, Aves, Coraciiformes, Meropidae.